AGAGUCUUUAAAGACGCUUCUGGAGCCUCGGAUGGGGUCAUGUGACAUGUGACGCCGUGGACGUGAAGUGUCCUCUGAGUUAAAGACCAUGGAGGUCUUGUCCAUCUGGCAGCUGUCCGUCCCUCUGCCGGCCAUCAUGCUGAUCACCGUCACCCUCUACAUGAUCGUGGUGGGGAUCGGACUCUGGAUCCGGUUCUGUCUAAAGGACCGCUGUUCCUUC
Molecule: long non-coding RNA, 220 nt
Organism: Sphaeramia orbicularis (orbiculate cardinalfish)
Lineage: Eukaryota; Metazoa; Chordata; Actinopteri; Kurtiformes; Apogonidae
Exons: 4
Source: RefSeq, a predicted model, not a curated record